Molecule: RNA transcript, 170 nt
Organism: Pan troglodytes (chimpanzee)
Lineage: Eukaryota; Metazoa; Chordata; Mammalia; Primates; Hominidae
Gene: BV7-8
Exons: 3
Source: RefSeq, a predicted model, not a curated record
GCCAUGGGCACCAGGCUCCUCUGCUGGGUAGUCCUGGGUUUCCUAGAGACAGAUCACACAGGUGCUGGAGUCUCCCAGUCCCCAAGGCUCUGGGGCAGGGGCCAGAGUUUCUGACUUAUUUCCGGAAUGAAGCUCAACUAGACAAAUCAGGGCUGCCCAGUGAUCGCUUC